Molecule: long non-coding RNA, 235 nt
Filed under: Capsicum annuum
Lineage: Eukaryota; Viridiplantae; Streptophyta; Magnoliopsida; Solanales; Solanaceae
Description: long non-coding RNA (CANN_LNC012010)
Source: RNAcentral
AUUUGGGAGGUUGCAUUUAAGGCACAGUUUGAACGUCAACGGAUGUCACCAAUAUAAAAAAUGGAUGAAGCUAAGAAGGGGAAGACUGAUAGAAGAAGCACUCAGGAAUUAGUAUUUUUUAUCCCCUGUGUGGGAACGUAUCUUCUUUCAUGUUAUUUCCCUUUCCCUAAAGAUUGUAUCCCUCUUUCGUUAUCUUUUGUAGGAAUUUAUGCCCUUUUAGUGUCUAUAAAAGUUG